RNAcentral lists this ribosomal RNA (406 nucleotides) under uncultured bacterium. RNAcentral describes it as "partial 16S ribosomal RNA". It matches the Rfam family "Bacterial small subunit ribosomal RNA", at positions 29 to 526 of the family's 1533-position model. The record is from RNAcentral.
AUUGAACGCUGGCGGCAGGCCUAACACAUGCAAGUCGAGCGAGCGGCGGACGGGUGAGUAAUGUCUGGGAAACUGCCUGAUGGAGGGGGAUAACUACUGGAAACGGUAGCUAAUACCGCAUACCAUCAGAUGUGCCCAGAUGGGAUUAGCUAGUAGGUGGGGUAACGGCUAACCUAGGCGACGAUCCCUAGCUGGUCUGAAGGGAAGACCAGCCACACUGGAACGGAGACACGGUCCAGACUCCGACGGGAGGAAGCAGUGGGGAGUAUUGCACAAUGGGCGCAAGCCUGAUGCAGCCAGGCCGCGGGUAUGAAGAAGGCCUUCGGGUUGUAAAGUACUUUCAGCGGGGAGGCGUUACCCGCAGAAGAAGCACCGGCUAACUCCGUGCCAGCAGCCGCGGUAAUUC